This 159-nucleotide small nuclear RNA is filed under the name Trichobilharzia regenti. RNAcentral describes it as "U1 spliceosomal RNA". It matches the Rfam family "U1 spliceosomal RNA". Rfam says of the family: U1 is a small nuclear RNA (snRNA) component of the spliceosome (involved in pre-mRNA splicing). Its 5' end forms complementary base pairs with the 5' splice junction, thus defining the 5' donor site of an intron. The record is from Rfam by way of RNAcentral. Lineage: Eukaryota; Metazoa; Platyhelminthes; Trematoda; Strigeidida; Schistosomatidae.
GUCUCCACCUGGCGCCAGGUUCAGGGUGAUCGAGGAUGCUUUGACCCCGAAUGAAGGCUCACCAUUGCACCUCGGUGGGUUGAAACUCGCAACGGACUUUAAUUGGGCACGCUUGGGCGUGUAGUUUUUGUCAGUGGGGAAGCCUCACAGUCCUCCCUU